GGAGUUUCGGGAAGAGGGCGGUGUCAUCUGGACGACGUCGGGUGAUGAGUGACCGUAGGGCGCGAAUCAGACCCUCCUGGAGUUGCUCCACAGCCCACAUGUCUGAGAUGCCAGAACGGUCUGAGGAGUACAGAGGAUACCAGUAGACCAGCACCACAGCCAUGAAGAGAGCCAUUUCAUCAGGCUCUAGUCCCAGGGAGCCCAACUUCUCACUGAACUCAAACAUUGCAUCCAGCAGGGAGCCCAUGCCCAAAGCCCGCAGGGUAGACAGAGGGCGGCAUCAACACAGGAGCGUCCGUGAGAGCGCUGAAGCGGCGGGAGGGCGGGGAGGAGGGCCCGGGUAUCUCACGCGUCGCACGCGGCUCUGCAAGGGAGGCCACGUGAGGAGGCUUUUGACGGAGCUUUCACUGGGAAGACAUGAAGCCGCGCUCCAGCCAGGAGCCAGAGCUUCCUACAGUCCGCCAGGGGCUUAUAAUUAAAGAGCCAAAUUAAAUAGACCGGCAUGCUAUGCGCCGGGGUGGUCUGACUGUGCACCACCAGCAGCACAGCCUGCACUGUCAGCCAGGCGCUGCAUCUAGUUUAUGAACAGUAGGGUGAAAUUUAUGUGUCAGCAUGUGGCCAGACCCGAAUUUAUAUUGUGAACAAAUGUAUAAGAUGAUAAAAUUACUCUUACACCACUUAAUUUCACAGUGAUUUAUAGCCUAGUAUAUCUAUAUACCACUAAAUUGUCUUCUUAAAGUCUGUUUUGGUAAUGAUACAGUUAAAUUAGAUUUGUAACACAAGCCAGUUAUAGGCUAUCUCUCAGUUUCUCCCAUUCAGAGACUGAGUGAUGUCAAUAAGCCUCACAUUGCAUAUCCUGCUUGCAAUCCAGGAAAAAGACACUCAUAUUUUUCUGGACUCACGUGUCUGUUUGGGUUUCUUUUUUUCCCCUCUAUUUUAAUAUUUUCAUUGCCCAUAUUUUCUGGAGAUGCUGUUUGAGCUUUUGAUAUGAAAUAACUAGUAAUUUGAAAUGAUUUAUCACUUUUUUCCAUCAAACUAAUGUGGUUAGGUUAUACCACGUAGCUUAUAAUAUUGCAGGUUAUAAUAUUAUGUCUGACUUAAUGGGAUUGAUUUUGAUGUUGGCUCCUACUAAUGAGUUUUUCCUGAAAGUUUUGCUCAGCCCAGUAAAACUUGGAACCAAAGCAAUGAUGGUUUUCAACUGAUGGUGUGGAGUUAGUGGUCUGUGUUGGUUUAAACAGGCUGAGAUUAAUGCAGAAAACCUCCACCAGGGGAGUGUCAGAGGAAGUUUUAGUGACAGAGCACAGUGCAUGAAGUUAUGCACUGGACAGUGGGUAAAGUCUGCUUUUAUCAUAUACAUUAAUCACCAUUGGACAGCUAUAUGUGAUCUACUGUGAUAGCAUACUAAUACCAUCAUAGUGCUGGUGAGCACAUUAAAGUCAGUGUCAAGGAAGACUACAUAUUCACAGUGUUGCAGCUGACACCCACAUGAUAGAACAGUUGACCUUUGGCAUGAGGUCAAGGUUGCACAAGUUGAUUUAGGUAUUGGUUCUGGCAAAUAUUCCUUAAUGCAUGUUGGAAGAUGUAUUGUGCAUUUUCAAACAUUAGGUUUGACUGAGUUUUGAUGAUAUAGGUGAUACAAACAAUGUUACAACAUACAUAUUAGACUGAGUGUUAUUUAUCUGUAUAUAUGAUCUAUAUGGGCCCAUUUUGUGAUGCAGCAUAUAAGACAUGCAACACCCCCAACCCAAUCAUAUCUGCGGGUGAACACACACACACACACAAACACAAUCUCAUUUUAUCUGCCGGACUUUAUGAGCCUCGCAGCUCACCACUGCGGCCAUAUUUUUUACCAGGUUAUGAUGAUGUUUAUGAGCUUUGUUUAGAUCACACUGAACUCAUGAGUGAAAUGAAGUCAUGUGCAUUCCAAUAACCUCAUUGAAAUAUUAAAGGUCAACGGACCCAGUUCAAGGUGGUCACUUGCAUUUGGAUGGAUGAGAGGAGGAAGAAAAAUUAUGGAAAGUUAAAAGAUGUGCUGUUAUUUGAAUUAAAAAAAGCAAUUACAUAAACUGAAAAAAUAAACUAAACAUAAAUAAACGAUUUAAUAAACAAAUAAAAACUUGGAAAUGCCAGCCCUCACUCUCACACACACAAACACCAAACAUCCAGACAUCAAUAAACCACCAACAGAAAAGCCCAGCACACAGCCCUCAUCUUUAUUGUCUAAUAAUACUACAGCUAUUAUCUAUGAUUACACAUUUAACUGCCUUGUUUGUGUCGUGAAAAACACUGGCCCACUUAAUCAACAUAAAUAUAGAGUCAUAACCCGGUUUGUUGGUUUAGUGUUGCCUUCAGACUGGAGUAACAUGUUGACGGAGCACAGGGUGCGCCCAUCACCUGUGCUGGAACGUGACCGUGGCUGUUGUAAAUGAUUCACCGUCAAUUAGAAGAGCAAAGCAGAAAGCAUGUGCACCUUUGGCUGACCUCGAGAAACCGCUGCCUAAUACCACUUAACGGAUGGACGUCCUGCAGUUAUCAACUUUUAUUUGCAACGGUGGCCUUGAUAACAGAAAACAAACACGCCCACUAUAUAGCUACGCCAGAGUUUCCUUGUCCCCCCCCCCCGCGUGAAAUGGCAGAGGGCUUAGUGCGCCGUUAUGGCUCUGUGGCUCUGACAGAUUAUGAUUACAGUGACAGCCAGUGUGCUGUAGCUCCACGUGAGUUUGUUUUCAUGAAGACAGGAAGUAGCCAGUCCCACUAUAAACCAUAUGGCGCGGGUCGUUGGAGCUGCAGUCCAGGCGCUGCGUUUUGACAUUAAAACGCAAUGCAGCAACUUUCCCUCUACAACUUUGCGUUAAGUGUUGCAGUUACACUUAUACUCAACAUAGAAACAAGCUUAAGCGAUCAAAUGUCGAAAGAGCGACUCGUGCAUGAACCUAAUAUUCCCAAUCAGUGGUUAAAAAAAACAAACUAUAAAAUUACUCAUCUCAGUUAGUACACUGUAAAAUUAGAAUGCAAAAGUGAUGUUUGGUGCACUUAAUUGUGCAUGUGACACACAUGAAAUUGCAAACAUAUUGUCAACUAUACACAUAUUAGAAGAAAUUCAUCCGUAUUAAAUUUAAAGUCAGAUUUAUUUUUGUUUUAAUGAUAAACUCAAACAGCGUUAAAUUACUUUAGCCAUUUGAACGUUGGGAUCAACAUGAAUGAAGCAGUGACUAAAUCAAUCAAUUCUGACUCUUAUGUCAUAAUCAAAUGGAGCGGUGGCUACAAGUUAACAUAAUGUUAAAGUUGA
Long non-coding RNA from Lates calcarifer (barramundi perch), 3289 nucleotides. RefSeq lists it as uncharacterized. The transcript has 3 exons. The record is from RefSeq and is a predicted model, not a curated record. NCBI's taxonomy places the organism in Eukaryota, Metazoa, Chordata, Actinopteri, Centropomidae.